GGUGCAACAGCCGGGCAAUCCCCAGCAACCAAUAUAUCCAGAACAACAUUAUAUGACCUAAAACUAGGUUCGCAACUAAAAACUUCCCUCAUAUCAAAAAGUAACCGCGUCGAUUGACCAGGUAAACCAUCUCUACCAUAAUGCCUCAUUAUAGUAAUAAAAAGUGACUCCUGUAAAACUACCCCGUCAUCUUUCAUCCGCAGCAACAAUCCAUCAAUCAACUUAAACUCCCUGGCCGCUCCAAGUUUAUUAAUCAAAGUACAAUACACAUCAAAUGUAUGAGUAUACCCCAUUUGAGUACCCGCCUUACGGAACAAAUCCAUAGAAGUAGGGACAUCAAGGGGGAGCUGAAGCAACUUAUUAAGCUGAUACGGUGUAAGUCGAUUAAGGGACUUUCGAAGCUGUUCAAUGUCAAAUGGUUCAAGCAAACUUUCCCAAUCUGUUUCAGGGGAUGACCCAUUCUUAUAAUCAGAAUUACCAACAACAUUUCCAUCAUCCCCAAUUGAACUACAAUAUGUAAAGAUUGGAUUUUUAUACAAAGAUUGAACCUUUUUGACAAAAUGACACCCAAGAUUCAAUCUUUUGAGCAUAACUCUUAUUGGGUAAUUGUAAACAAGCAAAAGCUAAGCAAACAACUGAUUGGCAUUACACAUACAUAAACUUUUCAGGGUUAUAAGCAAUUGUGUGUAUACAUGUAUGUAUAUGUGUAUAUAGAGUUGAAAAAUAUAUGAGAAACAGAGCCGAAUGAAGAGCUCUAACCUGGGAACAAGUGUUUGUAUUUGCUGCAAAAAGCUUCUGCACUACAGUGAGCAGCGGGUCGGGUCCAAAGUCAAAUUUUCAAAUCAAUUGGGUGUUUGUAUCUCAUGUAUGUGCAUGUCAGGCAAAUGUAUAUUUGACUUGUAAUCUUUUAGUCAAAAGACAUCCAUCUUUGCCCAAUUUACUUUAAGGAUCGCAUUAUUGAAAAAAUGGGAUAAGGAUCUAAAUACUCCCUCCAUCCCUUUUUAGUUGUCAUUGAUUUUGUACCAGUCAAAUUGACUAAAGUUUGACUAAAAUUUAUUAAUAUUUAAUCAAUUGACAAAAUAAAAAAACUGAAAAUAACUUUUAAUCUAUUUUAAAAUGUAAUUUUCAGUUUUUAAAAAUAAUGAGUAAGUGACUUAUAAUCAUUAGUCAAAACUUAAUCAAUUUAACCAACAAAAAUAGAAAUGUGACAACUAAAAAGGAACGAAGGGAUUAAUUAAAGCCUAUAAUUCAGGAACAUUUAAAUUAAUUAUCCCUAAAUAAAGGUUUUUUUUUCACAAAUAACCAAGUUUGGAAUUUUUUUGCGAAAAUACUAUAAUUUCUUUAAAAUUUGUAAAAAUACAAUAUUCCAAAUAAAAAUUAAAACAAUACCAUUUUCUAAAAAAAAAUUUACAAAAAUACAGAAGUUGCAUACUGCUAACAAUCGAAACCAAAAAUGCAAUUUUGAAAAAAUCUGUUAAAAAUUACAUUUGAUUCGUCACAACCGGUUUCAAAAGUUGUUAAAAUGAUCCUUGAGAAGUCGAUACUAACAUCACAAAAACAACAAAAAAAUCAACUAAAAACAACCAUAGAAUUAAUUGAAAGCAAUCAACGAUAAUGUAAAAGCCCGAUGGCCCUUCAAAAAAGACCUUACUUGGUAAAACUCUGGCUUUGGAGUAACCAAUAAGCACCACAUCAAUCUGAGCACAUAUGGAACUCAUAAAUGAGAGGCUCUGAUAUGUACUAGAAAAACUGGUUCACAAACAGUAAGGUAUACCAAGAACUCACAUUCUGAACGUAAGCACAGGCAUGUUCGGAUCAUCAGUUUGCGUAACUAGUACAUUAGCAAAGGCGUCCUUCACUAAUAUCUCAGAUAUGCAUAUAAAAGAGUAUACAUGUAUAAUAAAGAUACUAAACAAACUCAUCAACUAAAUAUUAGUGACCACAAAAACAUAUAAUUACACAACCACGAAAAAAAAGCGGAAACCAAAGAAAUAUCUGGAAGACAUGAUUCAAAGCUUUCUAACAAUUACAAAACUAAUCUUUAAAAUCUGUGAUGCAAAAAGUCUGGAUGAUGACCUUCCAACAGAGAUAGCUCACGUUGCCUCUCAUCAUUCAUGUCAAUGACAAUGUUAUGCAAGAUGCAGCAGGCCUUGGUCAUACUUUGAAGCUUUUCGGAUUUCAUUCCAGCUGUAAGAACCUUCCAUUCUUUCUUUAGCCUAUUAAAUGUCUCAGCACUCAUUCCCUCUUCAGGGGCAGAAGCAGGCCCACGGAGGUGGCGAUGGCCAUUUUCUGCCAAGACCUCCACAAAGGACCAUGUGACCUUAGCAGCGGUAAAUGAGUGCGUCCCAAUUUCACCACCAAUUGAAUUCAGCAACUUGCCCAAUUUUAGCCUUCUCAUAGCUAUGGCUACUUUAUCAACCACAGUUAAUUCCCUGUUAUCGUUAAAUUUAUAUAUUUGUGAAUUUGACAUAGGCUCCAUCACAAGAGAGCAUAAGUAUCUGAAGGUUCUCAUUGAGAUCCCGCAGUAUACUUCGACUCUAGUCGAGUCUUCCGCGAGAGGAAAAUGUCCUGCAAAGAAGAGAAGAAAAUGCAUUUUUAUACAUACGAUUAAGACACUGCCAUAAUGUGUUUAUCAGGCUUAAAACUUGAACAUAUUAGAUUAAUGUAUAACACCAUACUAUUCCAUUCAUUUCAGUAUACAUACACACAUCGACCUGUAAACUGUAUAAACAAAAUGAAGCUAGAAUGUCAAAAAUGUAAAUCAGUAAACUGCUUGUGAUUAACACACAGGGAUAUAUCGCUUUCAGUAAGGUUCCAAUCUGCAAAGAAUGCUACAGCUUUCAUAUCAAAUCAGAAUCAAUAUGAACUGAUUAUAAGUGGAUACUUUCGGUAUUCAUAGCAAGUUACAAGCUCCCAGGAAAACAUUAUAUCUACCAUAAUAUAGCUGUUUGACUGAACAAACCCUUACAAGAACUAAGUAAAUAACAACAUAUUCGAAAACAACAGAUUAGAUAUUGUUCCAAAGACUAAGACAACUGGAAGCAGUUUGACCUUAAUUACUAGUUUGACCUUGUGGAACUGGAAAUAGAAGUAUUUUGAAUAGCGACUUGCCUAAAAUCAAUCCCUUGCUACUUUGGAAAAAAAGCUAGUCCUGAAUUCUCACUGGUGACUUAUAGAUCAUAUAAUCAGAAGAUGAUUAUACUCGGUAUAGUUUGGAUUUACCUCAUAUUUUCUUCUAUGUAUGCACCAAUGUCAAAAUCUGAAAUGCUUUCUUUCCCAUAUUAUAGAGUAUAAACAAAGAAACUAAAAUAUCCACAAGAACUACAUACGAAUCACAUCACCUUCCUCAACUCCUUUCAAAUCUAAUGACUCUAAUCCCAUCAGCAAAAUUUAUAUACACAUAACAUAACUCCCAGAAUUAAAAUUUAAAUGUUUAUAUCUUCAUUGUACUAAGCAACAAUUAAAUUCUAGGUCAAAUAAGACUCCGAACCACAGACUGAGGAUUUAUUCAUUCUCCAUCUAAAGUAAUUUUCAAUAAAUCAAAAGACGAAUCAACUGGUCACAAAUUAGAAUUUCAUCAUACACAGAUGAACAAGCAAACAUAAAAUUACUUCGGGAAAAAAAAGGUAGUACAUACCAAACCAUAACGAAAUCGACAAGAACAAUUCAUCACCACCAAAUGAGAACUUAAGAAUUUGAAGAUUUACAUACCAGCAAUCCUCUUCACGAAUUCGGCAAACCAAAUAACGUAAUUCAAAGGGAAUUUGCCACGAUUAGCUUCACUUCUUUCCAUUCUUUUGUGGUUUGAGGAAUGGAGAUUGAUUUUCCUUACCACCGUACAAUAACUCUAAAGUUUGCGACUUUAAAGUUUGUUGGAACACAGAAGUAUAUAAAGAGUGAGAUGGAUGGGUCUGGGAUGACGUCAGCGCGUUGAUGGAGGUUAAAAGAAAUAGAAUAGUAUAAGGAGUAUGUUUGUAAAUACCUAGGUUGCACGGAGACGGGUACGGGAACAUAUACGGGUACGGGGACGGGGACAUAAAACGACAAUUUUAAAUUUAAAGGGUACGGGGACGGCACAUAAUAUAUUAAUAAAAAAUUAAAUUUUUUAUAUAAAUAGGACAGAUGCAACUUUCUCAAAUAUUAAUAUCACCGGAGAUCAACUCAUUCUCCAUUUCAGGCUCACAAAGGAGGUUGAUUGUUAGAUCCACUUCCACUUUCAGCAUGUCCAGAUCCAAAACCACUACUUUCAUGUUGUGAUUCCAUUGAAAACUAAUGAGUUAUGUUUAUUUGUUUGAGAGAGAAAGUAGUUUGAGAAGAGUUAUGAUUGUAUGCAUAUAUGAAGAACGUGUGUAUAAUGUAUAUAACUUGAAUAGAAGCCGUUGAGUUAGGGUUUUCUAUGUUAUGUUUAAUUGGGGACGGGUAUCUUUAUCAUUUUACUCCAAGAAACAUCCCCAAUUUUAACCUGCUGUCCCCAGCUUUUUGGGGACGUCCCCAAGCCGUCCCCAUGCCGUCCCCGUCCCCGAUACGUCCCCAAACUGCGGUACUCCACCUAGUAGGCGUCCCCGUGCAACAUAGGUAAAUACUGGGGGUGGGCUUCAUAUAUACAAAUUUAUCCUAAGGAAAUUGUAAUUGGGCAUAAAAUAAAUUUUAUUUCAAAGUUGUAGCUCAUAUAUGAAGUAAAAUAAAGUAAUUAAAAUAUACUCACUCCAUCCCAUAAAGCAUGAGCUAAUCAAUUUUACGCACAUUUAAAAAAUUUGAGUAUGACUAUUUGAUAUGUAUUCACAAAAGAUGAGUUAGUGAAUGAUGACUAAGCAUUUACGUGAACAUGUGGUUAUAGCUAUCUUAAAACAUACUAUGUGGGUGUUUGGGCGGGGCUUUUAAGCCCCACUUCUAGAGUUUUAAGUUAGAAGCACUUAUUCGUACCGUUUGUGUAAAAAGUCGAGAAACACUUAUAAAAAAGUUAGGAUUUUGUUUCAUGACUUCUACUUUUUUCCCAAACACUUUAAUCACUUAUAAGUCUUGACUAACUUCUACUUCACCUUUUUUUACUUUAAGCAGAAAACACUUAUUUUAAGUUCACCCAAACAGCCCCUAUAUAAAGUUAGGUACAUUCUUCUCGGGACAUCCUAAAAAAGAAAGUGGGCCAAACAAAAUGGGAGAGGAAGUAUUAUUUAAAUAUAAUUUAUAUUCAAAAUAUAGUUUCCAGUAUUUUAUUCAUUAUUAUGUAUUUCUCUUUGCCCAUUGCACUUCUUUUUGUUAAAACCAGAAAACAUUUGUUCAAUUUAGCUUGACCAUUUUACUAUUAUCAGUAUCUAUAUAGUAUAUUAUAUAAAUGAAAAUUUCCAUACAAUAUAUACAUAGCACUAUUUCCGGAAUCUAAUAUUUAGUGGUCACAAUCGUAAUGUGUCUAGUCAGUAGCUAACUAACAUAUUCAGUGGUGUCACGGAAGAAAUUUGCAACAUCCCACGUCACUAAGUUAUAUCAAUGCCUUUAUUAGCACAAACUUACAACUAAUAUUGUAUCGGAAUUGAUAGCUCUUUUGUAUCAACUUAUAGUUGGUUGUUGAAUGAUGUAGUAUGUGUGGCUUGGACUAUAACAAAUUUUGUUCGAGGUUGACCCUGCCAAAAGUGCUUUAAAGGACUUCUUUAGUUUUUGGGCUCGACGAGGACGUUGAACUUAUAUAAUGUGGAAAACUGUAGCAUCCCAUAGUUGGUAAGUCUGGACGCAUUUAUAAAUGUUGGAGAAAAGUCGCUAGCUCUUUUGGUUUGGUCUGUGGUGAGUUGUUGAACCAUCUCCUUCACUUUGGCUUGGGGUGAUACACAAUUAAUGUAUUAUAGAAUUUUGUUAUAAUUAUGUAUUUCUUUAUAUAUAUUCAAGUUGAUUGAAAUUAUUAAAUUAAAUGGUACGAUGUAUAAACCUUCAUAAGCUAUAACUUUAAUAUAAUAGACGUACUUGACUACGUCUAGACAUAUAAAUUUAUGACAAAAAUCUAAUUUAUUAUAAGACAUGAUUAUAAUAGAACCUCAAGUACAUAGAUCCGCCAAUUUGGUAUACAACAGAAAAAAAAUGACACGAGAAAUAUGGAUAUGGAUUCACCAUUUUGUUAUACGAAUACGAAAGUAUACAGUUAUAAAAUUGGACCUUUAGGAAAAUCCCUUUAUAUUUUGAUGUGUUCAGGUCAGAACUCUCAGGUGCAUUGCCUAAAUGCACAUAAGUUUUGACCUGAACACGUCAAAAUAUAGAGGGAUAUUUCUAAUGGUCCAUUUUAUGAUCGGGUACUUUCGUAUUCGUAUAUCGAAAUGGUAAUCUUUAUCCAUAUUUUUCGUGUCAUUUUCCUUUUGUGUUGUCUAGCAAAUUAAUGGCUUUAUGUAUUUUCGGUUUUUAUUAUAAUUAUGUCUUCUAAAUAAUUAUAUUUUUUUCUCAUAAAUUGAUAUGUGUAGUCAAGCAGGUCUACUAUAUUAAUGUAGUAGCUUCAGAAGGUUAAUACAUUUUAUUAUUUAACUUAAAUAAUUUUUCACUCAACUUGAACUUAUAUAUAUAUGUAUGUAUGCAUGUAUGUAUGUAUCUUUGUGUGUAAUUACAAUAAAAUUAUAUAAUACAUUAAUUGUAUAACACCCUAAUCCUACGAGAAACAAAUGGUUCAACAACUCACCACAGAGCAAUCCAAAAAAGCUAGCGACUUUGCUACAACGUUUAUAAAAGCGUCCAAACUUACCUACCGUAGGAUGUUAUAGUUUUUCCACACAAUUAGUUUGACGUCCUCGUGGGGCCCAAACGCCGAAGAUAUUUUGUGAAGCACUUUUGGCAGGGUCAAGCUCUGACAAAAUCCAUUACAGUCCAAGCUAAUAUACUACAUCAUUCAACAACCCACUAUAAGCUGAUCCAAAAGAGAUAUCAAUCCCGGUGCAGUAUUAGUUAUAAGAAGCUUUCUAAAAGUCGGCGUUUAAUCGGGAUUAAUUGUUGUUCGGUCGGCCACAGUCUCGAUUAAGCGUUAAUCAGUGAAAAAAUCAUUUUUUCCUCAAAAUCGGUCAAAAACGAGAUUAACCGGUUAAAAGACGGGAUUAAUCCGAAAAAAUUGGUGUAUUUAAAAAUUUUAAAAAUACAAAGUAAUUUUUUUAAAAAUUAUAAAUUAUUUUCUAAUAAAAUGAAAGGCACAAUGACAAUCAUAGAAGUUAAAAUUGUUUUAUUUACCUUUCACUUUUCAAAUAUUAGCCUCUAAACUCUAAUUACAAAAAUCUUCAAAAUCUUCCUUCGUAGAUUUAAUCAAAUUCAAAUUUAUAUAUGAGAUGAUUGGACUUGUAUGUAUAUAUAGGAACGUUUUGUGUAAUAAAAAAUCAUUAAUCUUUCAAUUUUAUAAGACUAUAAAUUUAUAGUAUAUAUAAUUAUAUUAAUAUAUAUAUAAUUUAAAAAAUAAUAUUAAAUUGAUUACUAUUAAUGCUCCAAUUAAUCACUCUGAUUAAUCCAUGAUUAUCCGAUUAAUCGUUGGACAGUGGCUUCACCGACUACGUCCGAUUCCCGCUUUUAACAACACUGGUUAUAAGUUGUGCUCAUAAAGGCAUUAAUAUAACAUCCCUAACUUAGUGACAUGGGAUGUAACAAACUUUCUCAGUGACACCGCAAAAUAUGUUACUUAGCUCUUGUGAUUCCUAUAUAGCCCUUAUGGAUAUUUUAAUUUCCUUUUUUGUACUUCGUAAUACGGGAAAGAAAGUAGUUCCGAUUUUGGCAUUGGGGCUUACAUAAAAGAAAAUAUGAGGCAAAUCCAAACUAUACCGAGUAUAAUCAUCUUCCGAUUAUAUGAUUUUCGAAAUCCUUUUUCCUUUAGGUAAAAAAGGUAAAUUUAUUAAAUGACGAUGUUUAGGAUAAAGUCAUGCAUCAUUGAGAAACAUUGGCACUUGAUAACAUUAUUGGUGAAAUUAUUUGUUUUCCCAUUUUAUGUGAAUAAGAUGCAUUUAUAAAUCACCAAUGAGAAUUCAUGACUAAGUUUUACUCCAAGGUAGCAAAGGAUUGAUUUUAGGUAAGUCACCAUUUAACAUACUUCUAUUUGUAUAGGAUGUAAGGAACGGAAUGGUGGAAGGAAUGAAAUUUUUGAACAACUUUUCAUAAUAUAGUUCAAAUUUCAUUCCAUUCCUUCGAGAUUCAUUCACCCAACCAAACACAAUAUUAUAGACAACUUCACGAAUUUAAAUGGCUUUGUACUGAAGUACUAUAUAAGAUAGGCACCUCUGAUCUUAGUAAUAUGUUGCACGAAAGAAAGAUAACAUAUCAGUAUAUACCACAGAUCACCAACUUUGUACCUGACAGAAACAGAGAGUAAUUGAAGUAAACCUGCCAAGUUUACUUGAGCAGCUCCAGUUAUCCAUCAUCUUCCUGUGGAGUACUGUAAUAACAAACAGUGUCAUUCAAAAAGUAUAUUUGGAAAAACUUGUAAUAAAUCCUAUCAAUUAAGCACAAGAAACAGAUGUUUCUAAACAUAAUUGGGUGGCACUUUAUAUUACAUGGACUCAAUGUAAUAACUAACAAAAAUUAUAUAACUCCAUCACAAGGAUGUAGGACACAAUAUGCUAGUGUCUGAGUUAACUUUAUUUGCAACAGAUAUUCUGCACUGUUUCACACAGUGAACAUGAUUAAUCCCACCAAAAAAGUACCUGUGUUCUAAAUAAAGAACUUAGAGAAUUUCAGACAAUGAUACAAAAGUUCUGCUUUUCUUGCUGAGGCUUCAACUUUGUUCACAUUGUAAUUACAUAAGUGAAUAUAUAAAUUCUCCAUCCAUUACCUAGUACCUACUCUGCAUGAGUUUCUGUAAAUGCUUUGCCGAUUCACAUCUGGAGUUCCAAUCAACGCCGUCUGAACAAACAAAUCAGACCCAAAACCUCUGAUCAUCAGUAUCUAAAGUAUCCGGUGGUUGGGGACUUGUUUCAAGCAGGUGGCGGGAAUACGAGAUCUCAUCAGUGACCUAAUAGCUUGGUUAGGAAAACAACGUUGAUAUCUGAAGCGGCUUUGACGAUUAAAGCAGGGAUUUGGAGAAAAUGGUUGUGGGCAGUAAUUACUUUAUGAUUAGUUUAUAGAUUCUAUGAAAAAAAAUUGAAUCCACGUAUUUUUUGCACCCAAAUUUUUUUGCCAAAGACAAGUGUUCUACGUUAAGGUAGAGAACCUGCAUAGAUGAUUGACAAGAUUGAAUUUGGAGCCGGAAAGGUUUGUUCAACUUAUUAAAGAGGGUCUUGUCAUUCUUGAUCAUAAGUUCGACUGGGGAGGGAUGGUUGUAUGCUCUUGGUCAUAGUCAUAUAGGUUCGAUUUCCGAAAGCAGAAGAAUAGCCGGUUCACAUGGAUUUAUCCCGUGCAUACCCAAAAGAUAGCGGCUGCUACUUCUUCCGUUAAAAAAAAAAUAUUCUGGAACCCAAAUUUCAUAAUCAAAGAUAACUUCGAAUGAGUAGUACACACAAUUAAUUUUAAUUUUUUAAACAUAUUUUAUGAUAAUUUAUUGCGUCUUCUAAGUUCUAAUUUCACAUUCAUCUCGAACAACAAUUUCAAAUUUUUGUCAAAUCAGAAUCAACAUUAACAUCAUAUCUUCCCUGAAGAUUAUUUUUUGCAACUUCAUGGGUUUAUAUCAUGGGUAUAUGACUGAAUUGGUUUCAGCCGCAUUGCUUGUUAAUGAACCUCGUUGAAUUGAUUUAUAUCAUCAACCCAUGAAGUUUCAUCAUCUAAACUGAAGCGCCCACAAGUUUCCUCAUUUCUUUCUAUCCAUAUUCCCCAUGUUAUAACCACUACAUUAGCAAAGGUGUCCUUUUCUAACAUCUCAGAUAUACAUAUAAAAGAGUACACAUGUAAAACAAAAAUACUAAACAAACGCAUGAACUAAAAAUUAAUUACUACAAAAAUAAAUAAUUACACAAAAUACAAAUAAAAAAGCAGAAACCAAAUAAAUAUUCGGAAGAGAUGAUUCAAAACUUUUUUGUCAAUUACAAAACUAAUUUUUCUGAGUCAUAAAGCCUGGAUGAUGACCUUGUGACAGACAUAGCUAACGAUGCCUCUCAUCAUUCAUGUCAAUGACAAUCUUAUGCAAGAUGCGGCAAGCCGUGGUCAUAUUUUGACGCUUCUCUUGUAAGAACCUUCCGUUCUUCCUCUAGCCUAUCCACUGCCUCAGCAGUCCUUAUUUCCUUAGUGGCAGUGGCUGGCCCAUGGAGGUGGCGAAGGCCAUUUUCUACCAAGGCCUCCACAAAGGACCGUGUGACCUUAUCAGCAGUAAAUGAGUGCUUACCAAUUUCCUUACCGAUUGAGUUCAGUGACUUGCCAAAUUUAAGCCUUCUCAUCGCUAUGGCUACUUUAUCAACCACGGUCAAUUCUCUGUUAUCGUUAAAUUUGCAUAUGUGUGAAUUGGACAUUGGCUCCAUCACAAGAGAGCAUAAGUAUACGAAGGUUCUCAUUGAGAUCCCACAGUAUUUUUCGACUCCAGUCGAGUCUUCCGAGAGGAAAAUGUCCUGCAAAGAAGGGAAGAUGAUGCAUUUUUAUAUAUACGACUAAGAAACUGCCAUAAUGUGUUUAUCAUGCUUAAAACUUGAACAUAUCAGAUUAAUUCAAAACACCAUACUAGUCCAUUCAUUUCAGUAUACAUACACAUAUUGACCUGUGAACUGUAUAAAACAAAAUGAAGCUAGAAUGUCAAAAAUGUAAAUCAGUAAACUGCUUUUGAUUAACACACAGGGAAUAUCACAUUCAGUAAGGUUCCAAUCUGCAAAGAAUGCUACAGCUUCCAUAUCAAAAUAUCAAAUCAGAAUCAAUAUGAACUGAUUAUAAGUGGAUACUUUCGGUGUUCCAAAGACUAAGACAACUGGAAGCAGUUUGACCUUAAUUACUAGUUUGACCUUGUGGAACUGGUAACAGAAGUAUUUUAAAUGGCGAUUUACCUAAAAUCAAUCCCUUGCUACUUUGGAAAAAAAAGCUAGUCCUGAAUUCUCACCGGAUAUUUACAAAUCACAUGAUCAGAAGAUGAUUAUACUCACUAUAGUUUGGAUUUAACUCAUAUUUUUUUUCUAUGUAUGCCCCAAUGCCAAUUUCUGAACUGCUUUUUUUUUUUUUUUUUCCAUAUAGAAGAGUAUAACCAAAGAAACUAAGAUAUCCACAAGAACUACAUAGGAAUCACGUCAACUUCCUCAACUCCCUGCAAAUCUCAGGACUCUAAUCCCAUCAGCAAAAUUUAUGCUCCCUCCGUCCCAUAUAAUUCUAUACACUUCCAUCUUUUGGAUGUCCCACCCAAUUCUAUACAUUUCAAAAAUUUCUUAAAACAGUAAACUUUUAUAAAUGAAAAACCCACUCACCCACUACUUUUUCAAAUCUAUCAAUUUUAUAUUGAUGGGACCCACUAAUUUACGCACUAUUCUUUCUCUUCUCAUUAUUUAAUAUUAUUUUUAUACACUUUUCUUAGUCUCCGCGCCCAAUCCAUAUGUAUACUUCCUCGAGGGAGUAUACACAUUACAUAACUCCCAGAAUUAAAAUUUAAAUGUUUAUAUCUUCAUUGUACUAAGCGACAAUUAAAUUCUAGGUCAAAUAAGACUCCGAACCACAGAUUGAGGAUUUAUUCAUUCUCUAUCUAAAGUAAUUUUUAAUAAAUUAAAAGAUACAUCAACUAGUCACAAAUCAAAAUUUCAGCAAACACAGAUCAACAAACAAACGUUACUUCCUUAAAAGAAAGGUAGUACAUACAAACGAUAACGAAAUCGACAAGAACAAUUCAUCACCGCCAAAUGAGAACUUAAUUAUACACGAGAAUGUUAAGAUUUACAUACCAGCAAUCCUCUUCACGAAUUCGGCAAACCAAAUAACGUAAUUUGCCACUAUUAGCUUCACUUCUUUCCAUUCUCUUGAAGCAAAGUUCUUAAAAACUUAAAAGGAGAUAAAAAGAAAGUGGUUCGAGGAAUGGAGAUUGAUUUUCCUUACCACCGUACAAUAACUCUAAAGUUUGCGACUUUAAAGUUUGUUGAAACACAAAAGUAUAUAAAGAGUGAGAUGGAUGAGUCUGGGGUGACGUCAGCGUGUUGACGUAGCUUAAAGAAAAUAGAAUAGUAAAAGCAGGAUUAUGUUUGUGAAUACCGGGGGUGGGCUUCAUAUAUACAAAUUUAUCCUUGGGAAAUUGUAGUUGGGCAUAAAAAAAUGUUAUUUCAAAGUUGUAGCUCAUAUAUGAAGUAAAAUAAAGUAAUUAAAAUAUACUCACUCCAUCCCAUAAAGUAUGAGCUAAUCAAUUUUACGCACAUUUCAGAAAUUUGAGUAUGACUAUCCGAUAUGUAUUUGCAUUCACAAAAAGAUGAGUUAGUGGAUGAUGACUAAGCAUUUACUUGAAUAUGUGGUUAUAGCUGCUUAGUCAUUAUCCACUAACUCAUCUUUUUGUGAAUGCAAAUACAUAUCAAUAGUCAUACUCAAAUUUCUUAAAUGUGCGUAAAAUUGAUUAGUUCAUGCUUUAUGGGAUGGAGUUAGUAUAUUUUGAUUAGUUUAUUUUACUUCAUAUAUGAGCUACAACUUUAAAAUAACAUUUUUAUGCCCAAUUACAAUUUCCUAAGGAUAAAUUUGUAUAUAUGAAGCCCACCCCAGUAUUCACAAACAUACUCCUACUUUUACUAUUCUAUUUUCUUUAACCUCCGUCAACACGUUGACGUUACCCCAGAAUCAUCCAUCUCACUCUUUAUAUACUUUUGUGUUCCAACAAACUUUAAAGUCGCAAACUUUAGAGUUAUUAUACGCUGGUAAGGAAAAUCAAUCUCCAUUCUUCAAACCACUUUCUUUUUAUAUCCUUUUAAUUUUAAGAACUUUACUCUUAGAGAGUGGAAAGAAGUGGAACCGAAUGUGGCAAAUUCCCUCUGAAUUACGUUAUUUGGUUUGCCGAAUUUGUGAAGAGGAUUGUUGGUAUGUAAAUCUUCCAAUUUUCAUGUAUAUUAAGUUAUUCUCAUGAAGUGGUGAUGAACUCUUCUUGUCGAUUUCGUUAUGAUUUAGCAUGUAUUACUUUUUCUUUUCCGAAGUAAUUUUAUCUUUGCUUGUUCAUCUGUGUUUAAUGAAAUUUUAAUUUGUGACUAGUUGAUUUGUCUUUUGAUUUAUCGAAAAUUACUUUAAAUAGAAAAUGAAUAAAUCCACAAUCUGUGGUUUGGAGUCUUAUUUGGCCUAAAGUUUAAUUGUCGUUUAGUACAAUGAAGAUAUAAAGAUUUAAAUUUUAAUUAUGGGAGUCAUGUAAUGUAUUUAAAUUGUGCUGAUGGGAUUAGAGUCUUAAGAUUUGCAAGGAGUUGAGGAAGUUCAUGUGAUUCCUAUGUAGUUGUUGUGGAUAUCUUAGUAAACGACAAUGAAGAUAUAAAGAUUUAAAUUUUAAUUAUGGGAGUCAUGUAAUGUAUUUAAAUUGUGCUGAUGGGAUUAGAGUCUUACGAUUUGCAAGGAGUUAAGGAAGUUGAUGUGAUUCCUAUGUAGUUGUUGUAGAUAUCUUAGUUUCUUUGAUUAUACUCUUUAAUAUUGGGGAAAAAAGCAGUUCAAAUAUUGGCAUUGAGGCAUAAAUAGAAAAAAAAUGAGUUUAAUCCAAACUAUAGUGAGUAUAAUCAUCUUCUGAUUAUAUGAUUUGUAAAUCACCAGUUAUGAUUACUACUCGGUAUAUUUUGGAUUUACUCAUAUUUUCUUCUAUACAUGCCCACGAACUACUUUAUUUCCUGUAUUACGGAGCACAAACAAAGAAAGUAAAAUAUCCACAAAAGCCACAUAGGAAUCGCAUCAAGUUCCUCAACUCUUUGCAAAUCUUAUAACUCUAACCCCAAUAGCACUUUAAAUAAAUUACAUGACUCCCGGAUUUAAAAGUUGAAUGUUUAUAUCUUCAUUUGUACUAAGCGAAAAUUAAAUUCUAGGUCAAAUAAGAUUCCGACACUGUAGGUCGGGGAUUUAAACAUUCCCUAUCUACACUCAUUUUUAGUAAAUCAAAUUACAAACCAACUAGUUCCGAAUUAUAAUAUCAUCAAACACAAAUGAACAAGCAAACAUAAAAUUACUUUGCAAAAACAACAGGUAGCUCAUACCAAACCAUAACGAAAUCGACAGGAACAGUUCAGCACCACCAAAUCAGAACUUAAUAUACAUGAGAAUUUGAAGAUUACAUACCAGCAAUCCUCUUCACGUAUUGGGAAUACCAAAUAACGUAAUUCACAUCAGGGAAUUCUCCAAUAUUUGCUUCACUGCUUUCCAUUCUCUUAAAUCAAAGUUCCUAAAGACUUCAAAUUAAAAAGAGAUAAAAAGAAAGUGGUUUACGACUUUAAAGUUUGUUGGAACACAAAAGUAUAUAAAAAGUAUAUGUGUUCUAAAGCAAGAACUUAGAGAAUUUCAGACAAUUAUACAAAAGUUCUGCUUUUCUUGCUGAGGCUUCAACUUUGUUUACAUAGUAAUUAUGUAAGUGAAUAUAUAAUUUUCUCCAUCCAUUACCUAGUACCUACUCUCCAUGAGUUUCUGUAAAUGCUUUGCCGAUUCACAUCUGGGGUUUACAAUUACGAGCCCAGAGUAUCUCCCGUACAUUUCAAUCAACGCCGUAUGAACAAACAAAUCAGACCCAAAACCUCUAAUCAUCAGUAUCUAAAGUAUCUGGUUGGGGACUUGUGUCAAACAGGUGGCGGGCAUACGAGACCUCAUCAGUGACCCGUGAAAACAUUUUACUAGCUAUGUUAGGGUAACAUCUAAAGUGGUUUUGAGGAUAAGCAGAGAUUUGGAGAAGAUGAUUGCGGGAGAUGAGUGUUCUCAGGGUUGAAUGUAUCGGCGUUCCUCACGAAGAUCCCGUUUAAUAUUUGAAACAUAUUUUCAGUAUUUGGGGAUAACAUUCUUGAUUUUUUUUAAAUCAAUGACAUAUUGAAAAAAUUCUCAUGAAUUGAGGUGUAUUUUAUUCGAAUUUUAAUAGUCUGAUUUUAAAAGAUUGUAUGUAAUUUUAAAUUACGCGAAUUUUUGAAAAAAUGUUGCAGAAUUGAUAUAGAUUAUUUAAAAUUUAAGUACAAUAUUUCAAAAUCUCAUGGAUUUUGGUGGGAUUUCAAAAAAAUUAAAAUUCACUCAAAAAUCUCGCAAAAUCCAUCAUUUUAUGAAAUCCAUAAAAAUCCAAUAGUAUUUGUAUAUCAUUUGAAUUUUAAACAAUCCAAAUUAAAUGAAAAAAAGCCCUAAAUAACUGAAUUUUUGAGUUUAAUGCCCCGUAGAACAAAAUUUGAAAAAGUGGCCCCAGUUGACAUGUGAAAACACUUAAAAUUGCCCGCAAGGGUUGGUUCAGCUGGUUAAAGAGGGGACAAGUAUCCUCUUGAUCACUGGUUCGACUCCCGAAGGGAGCACGUAGUUUGCAGGCUAUUGCGUGGGUUUACCCAGUGCGCACCCCCGAAGUGUAGCGGCUGUGGGUUCCUACGUUAAAGUUUGCAGGCUCGCAUAGGUUUACGGGUUUUCUCUUUUCUUCUUUUAUUAAACCUUUUCAAACUUCACAGUUUACAUAAGUAAAGUUAACAUUGAGUACACUGAGUAGACGAAGUACAGAGAAAACAGGUUGCGGGUUGCGGGUUGGGUCAAGCUAAUAUAAAGAAAAAUCAAUUGAGAUGAUGGAUUAUAAUGUAAGUUUUACAUUCUUUUGAAGAAUUGCAAUUCAAUUUAUAUAUAUUUUCAAUGUAUAUGUUCUAUGUGUUUGUUAAAGUGUCUAUGAUGAUUUACAUAUGAAGCAGUGGUUAGAAAUAGCUAGUAUUAUUUCUAAUUGAGUUGUAGUCACAUAUUACCAGUUAAGUUCGAGUUAUGUAAUGCAUAUUUGGAGCUUAAUUUUAGAAUUUGAAGCUUAUCUAUUACUUUACUAUGAGAAAUCUGCUUAGGUUAUCCAUGUGUAUGAAGAAUACGUAAGUUUAGGACCAAUAUAAUUGGAAAUGGCACUAGUUUAGGAGCAUCUUCUACCUGAUCAACCCUACAGAGCCCACAUAUCAGAGAAUUGAAAGUGAACAUAUCUGGUUUACAUCCUCCGUUUACCAUGUCAGCGUAUAGUUCCAGAGCCUCCUUAACCUUCUCAUCCUUAGCUAAAGCAUUUAUCAGGCAGUUGUAUCCAACAGUGUUUAAGCGGAUCCCCAAUGCUGACAUUUCACGGACAGCUUCUUCUGCUUCCUUCAAUCUGCCGACCUUGCAGAACCCGUUGAUCAAACUCGUGUAUGUUAUUAGGUUGGGCUUGCAACCCAUAAUUUCCAUCUCUUUCAUCAAAUUUCGUGCUAAAGAAAAAGAUUUUCUCGAACAUAGACCACGGAUGAUUAUGUUAUAUGUAUAGAUAUCUGGAUUGCAACCAACAGCGGGCAUCCCCUGCCUCAAAACAGCAUUGGCAUCAUCAAACUGUCCAUUGGCCACAUAACCAUUAAUCAAAGUAUUGAACAAAACAACAUUAGGCUCGGGCACUCUCUCCAGAAUAGCUCUAGCUUUAUCAACUUGACCAGUUCGGCAUAAUCCAUCCAUUAAAAUUCCUUAAGUAAACUUGCUAGGAGUGAAGCCUCAGAGAAGCAUUCUAUCGACCAAUUUAGCACCUUCAGGUAUCCUCUUAGCACGGCAAAGACCAUGAAUAACAUCAUUAAAAGUAUCAACAUCAGGUGUGCAACCCAUCAGAAACAUUUCCUCCAAAUAUCUUAUCACGUCAUUUAUUCUGUUCACCUUACAAAGCGCAUGUAUAAGUGUCUGGUAAAUAACUGAAUUCGGCACACACCCAUGUUCUGUCAUAUCUCUUAAAAGUGAACAUGCAGAAUCCACCUCAUUAACCAUACAAAGCACUUUCAUCACCACACCGAACGUUAAAACAGUUGGAGAAAUCCCCUUGUGCAACAUCUCAUAAAAAAUAUUCGGUGCAACAGCCGGGCAAUCCCCAGCAACCAAUAUAUCCAGAACAACAUUAUAAGACCUAAAACUAGGUUCGCAACUAAAAACAUCCCUCAUAUCAAAAAGUAACCGCGUCGAUUGACCAGGUAAACCAGCUCUACCAUAAUGCCUCAUCAUAGAAAUAAAAAGUGACUCCUGAAAAACUACCCCUUCAUCUUUCAUCCGCAGCAACAAUCCAUCAAUCAACUUAAACUCCCCGG
Molecule: long non-coding RNA, 17069 nt
Filed under: Daucus carota (carrot)
Lineage: Eukaryota; Viridiplantae; Streptophyta; Magnoliopsida; Apiales; Apiaceae
Description: long non-coding RNA (DCAR_LNC000476)
Source: RNAcentral